AAGAAAGUGACAGAGUGGCCAUGUAGCCGGCUUGAAACCGGUUUAAGGGGGUUCAAUUCCUCCCUUUCUCG
Molecule: transfer RNA, 71 nt
Filed under: Callogobius maculipinnis
Lineage: Eukaryota; Metazoa; Chordata; Actinopteri; Gobiiformes; Gobiidae
Also listed under: 1 other name
Description: tRNA-Ser
Rfam family: tRNA
About the family: Transfer RNA (tRNA) molecules are approximately 80 nucleotides in length. Their secondary structure includes four short double-helical elements and three loops (D, anti-codon, and T loops).
Source: RNAcentral